Molecule: ribosomal RNA, 160 nt
Filed under: uncultured bacterium
Lineage: Bacteria
Description: partial 16S ribosomal RNA
Rfam family: Bacterial small subunit ribosomal RNA
Source: RNAcentral
UAGGGAAUCUUCCACAAUGGACGAAAGUCUGAUGGAGCAACGCCGCGUGAGUGAAGAAGGGUUUCGGCUCGUAAAACUCUGUUGUUAAGGAAGAACAUAUCUGAGAGUAACUGUUCAGGUAUUGACGGUAUUUAACCAGAAAGCCACGGCUAACUACGUG